CUCACUCGGCCAUCCCUGACCACAGCCACUAUACCUACGGCAGAGUAAGGGAAAUCACUAUCACACACAAGGCAACCGACCAAAUCAGAAGAAGACAAGUUGUAACUACAGACACAUUAAUAUGGUGAAUAAACUAAUACGAACUACGAUGGCAGCAAUUUAACUAACACAACAAAGGAAAACUGGAAAACGGGAGGUACCAACUCCCGCAAGUAGAACCUUGGAAUUGUCUUGGUAUAUACGACGAUGUUGCGGCCACCUAGCACGUUCGCGUCCAACUCCUGCCGCCCCUUGUUGACACUCGCCCGGGUUGUUCUUCAAUGUUUGCACACGCACGUCCCUUUCACCGCUAAUAGCCACAUGCCCCAACCUGAAAUACAUACAAAACACCAACAAAGGGGGAGGGGUUGUCACCGCUACCACUGGUGAGGCCCCACCCGUAGCAAAGGAGCACAAAAAAGGAUGAAAUAAAACCUUAAGUUGGUUUGAAAAAAACAGUCAAUUCAAAAAUAAUCACAAGAAAAAUGACUGGAUCUGAACACUGAUCCGUAAAGAAUGUAAAAUUAAACUUGACACUUUACGUAUCUUUCUAUAAUUUCAAAAUAAAAGCUAGUGAAAGAGAAAAAUGGCUAGAGGAAGAAUAAGAUAUGAGAGAACGGGAAAUCUGUAUCCAUAAGGAAUGUAAAAUUAAAAAUAUAAUAAUUUUAUUUUACAAGUUAUUUAAGAACUUUAGAAGAUGAAGAACAACAAUGUUUCUGAAUCUUUUCUGUUUUACAAUCAAAUAAAAUUUAUCGGGUAACUACAAAAUAGAAACCAAAUAUACUAUUAAAAAAACACACACACAGGGAAUGUAAUAUAUUAAUUCAGCAGUAAGAAAAUAGAGACUAUGACCAAUUAAACUCUGUUACCUGGCAGUGUCCCUGAAGAAAAACUUGAACUUGGAGCAGAGCAACGAGAUUUUCAGACUCCGAUAGUGAACCAGAUCUAGGGUUUCAGCAAGAGAGAGAGCCCUAUAGAGACAUGCACAAUAUUAAUACUAGCAAUAGUCCAAUUUAUGAUUAUGA
Molecule: long non-coding RNA, 1064 nt
Filed under: Nicotiana tabacum (common tobacco)
Lineage: Eukaryota; Viridiplantae; Streptophyta; Magnoliopsida; Solanales; Solanaceae
Description: long non-coding RNA (NTAB_LNC000219)
Source: RNAcentral